Molecule: non-coding RNA, 96 nt
Organism: Paramuricea clavata
Lineage: Eukaryota; Metazoa; Cnidaria; Anthozoa; Malacalcyonacea; Plexauridae
Source: the annotation of a GenBank genome assembly
CUCUCUGUAGCUCAGUUGGUUAGAGCUCGACAGCUGUCUCUCUGUAGCUCAGUUGGUUAGAGCGUGGGGCUGUAGGUUUGAUUCCUGCCAGAGGGC